RNAcentral lists this transfer RNA (63 nucleotides) under Amynthas conformis. RNAcentral describes it as "tRNA-Glu". Lineage: Eukaryota; Metazoa; Annelida; Clitellata; Crassiclitellata; Megascolecidae. The record is from RNAcentral.
GUGUGUAUGGUAUAAUUAACACGUUAGCUUUUCAUGCUAAAGAUAUAUCCUCAUAUUACACAC